AUGCUACUCCCUCCGUUUCAAAUUACUUGUCUUAGAUUUGUCUAGAUACAUAUAUCCGUAUCUAGACAAAUCUAAGACAAGUAAUUCGGAACGGAGGGAGUAUACA
Molecule: non-coding RNA, 106 nt
Organism: Triticum urartu
Lineage: Eukaryota; Viridiplantae; Streptophyta; Magnoliopsida; Poales; Poaceae
Source: Rfam